Unclassified non-coding RNA from Cavia porcellus (domestic guinea pig), 318 nucleotides. Its record names the gene 7SK. It matches the Rfam family "7SK RNA". From Rfam's summary of the family: 7SK was discovered as an abundant small nuclear RNA in the mid-70s but a possible function has only recently been suggested. Two independent studies have found that 7SK RNA binds the CDK9/cyclin T complex (known as elongation factor P-TEFb). P-TEFb activates transcription by phosphorylating the C-terminal domain of RNA polymerase II. NCBI's taxonomy places the organism in Eukaryota, Metazoa, Chordata, Mammalia, Rodentia, Caviidae. The record is from Ensembl.
GGAUAUGAGAGCAAUCUGGCUGUAACACCUGUUACCCCAUUGCUCCCCAGGGUUGAUUAAGCUGAUUCGGCUGGCUAGGAAGUUGUCCCCUUCCUCCCUCACUGCUCUGCGUACAUUCCUCCCAAGCAAAACUGUGUACUCAAAGAAGACAACCGCCCUUGACUGGGGAGGACUGUGUUUCCUUGGUCAAGUGUAUGCGAGUAGCUGCAUUCCCCUGGUAGAACCUCCACACAUGCUCUCAGAAUAAAGAUUUGUAUAAAAAUACUUUUAUGCAUUAUUUUAAUUCAAACUAUUUCCUCUUAAACCAGAGGCUUCUUU